RNAcentral lists this ribosomal RNA (251 nucleotides) under uncultured Cercozoa. Its description in RNAcentral is "partial 18S ribosomal RNA". It matches the Rfam family "Eukaryotic small subunit ribosomal RNA", at positions 58 to 304 of the family's 1831-position model. The record is from RNAcentral. Lineage: Eukaryota; Cercozoa.
UCUAAGUAUAAACAACUUUAUAUGUAAAACUGCGAACGGCUCAUUACAUCAGCAAUAAUUUAUUUGAUGAUUUCUUACUACAUGGAUAACUGUAGUAAUUCUAGAGCUAAUACAUGCGCAAAGUCCUGACUCGCGAGGGGAGGGAUGUAUUUAUUAGAUACAAAACCAAUGCGGGUUCUGCUCGCCAUUGUGUUGAAUCAUAGUAACUUAUCGAACGCCAUAGCCUUGUGCUGGGCGUAGAUCAUUCAAAU